AGGGAUGUAGCUCAGUGGUAGAGCCAUUGUCUAGAACGUAUGAGGUCCUGGGUUCUAUCCUCAGCACCCCAA
This 72-nucleotide transfer RNA is filed under the name Heterocephalus glaber (naked mole-rat). It matches the Rfam family "tRNA". Rfam says of the family: Transfer RNA (tRNA) molecules are approximately 80 nucleotides in length. Their secondary structure includes four short double-helical elements and three loops (D, anti-codon, and T loops). Lineage: Eukaryota; Metazoa; Chordata; Mammalia; Rodentia; Bathyergidae. The record is from Rfam by way of RNAcentral.